This 253-nucleotide ribosomal RNA is filed under the name uncultured bacterium. Its description in RNAcentral is "partial 16S ribosomal RNA". It matches the Rfam family "Bacterial small subunit ribosomal RNA", at positions 524 to 776 of the family's 1533-position model. The record is from RNAcentral.
UACGUAGGGGGCUAGCGUUGUCCGGAAUCAUUGGGCGUAAAGCGCGUGUAGGCGGUCCGGUAAGUCCGCUGUGAAAGUCGGGGGCUCAACCCUCGAAUGCCGGUGGAUACUGUCGGGCUAGAGUACGGAAGAGGCGAGUGGAAUUCCUGGUGUAGCGGUGAAAUGCGCAGAUAUCAGGAGGAACACCAAUUGCGAAGGCAGCUCGCUGGGACGUUACUGACGCAGAGACGCGAAAGCGUGGGGAGCAAACAGG